GAAACAUAAAAGUAGAUAACUCAAGAUGAUUUCUCUUAAGGAUGAGGAAUAGGAGAACCACCACCUCCUCCGCCACAACAAGGAGAAGGUUUCCAAAUGCUACUAUAAUCCUCUAAAUCAUCUUCAGCACGGUAAAAUUUGUCACCUUGGCUCAAAUGGUCCCUUAAUGGCCGAACAAUAGAUACUGGAUGCUGCACCGUUGAUGAGGAUGGAAUUAAUGUUAAUGGCAUGGAUAUCACAACCAUUAGUAUUGUUGCUAUCAUCACAAUCACCAUAAUCUUUGAACUGAUUUUCACCAUAAUUAUAAUUUUGGUUUCAAUGAUAAUUUUCUCUCUCUCGUGAAUCUGAUAUGAGUAGCUUCGCAAC
RNAcentral lists this long non-coding RNA (366 nucleotides) under Medicago truncatula (barrel medic). RNAcentral's name for it is "long non-coding RNA (MTRU_LNC001280)". The record is from RNAcentral. Lineage: Eukaryota; Viridiplantae; Streptophyta; Magnoliopsida; Fabales; Fabaceae.